RNAcentral lists this long non-coding RNA (373 nucleotides) under Marmota monax (woodchuck). The record is from RNAcentral. Lineage: Eukaryota; Metazoa; Chordata; Mammalia; Rodentia; Sciuridae.
CAUGAAGCCACCAAAUUCAUGUAAAACAUGAAGCCGCAGCUGAAUGUUCUACAGGAAAUCAACAUGUAAAACUCACUGCUCCUUUUCUACUUUAUUCCCCAAUUUUACACACCUUCACAUUUUCUCACUUGUACACAAGGAUCUCCCUAAUUUGGUGGUUCCUCGUUAUUCUAGCUCCUAUAAUUAGUAGUCAGUUACCUACUUACUUAGCUAAGGAAAGCUUUCUCUUGUCUGUCAUCACAGUAGACACCCAGUUAGUUUCUAAGUUCUUACAUUUCUUAGUUUCAGAUCCAUUCCCAUAUCUUCAUUCUCUUCUACCAGACAGCUCGGGCCUUUAUGCUGGAUUCAUGAGGUAAUAAUCUCCUAAUGUCCU